UACACUUUGGUAUGUGAUUUUGGAGCCUA
RNAcentral lists this non-coding RNA (29 nucleotides) under Homo sapiens (human). The record is from RNAcentral. Lineage: Eukaryota; Metazoa; Chordata; Mammalia; Primates; Hominidae.